UUAAACCCGAUGCUGGGGUAAAGUAACUACAUGCAGCCAACAGAGAGCCGGUGUUAGGUGCGAACCGGUGGUUGUAUUUGGUGAAAAGGCUCCCCGUAGGGGGCCCGCUGAAAGAAGCAGUAGGCGGGCACGGAUAGUUCCGUUAUUUAAACGAAGAGGAUUUGUUUAUAGCAUGUUUUACAUACUUAAACGAAUCAAUAUGGGUGGCACCGCGGGAGAAACACCUCUCGUCCCUGUG
This 238-nucleotide non-coding RNA is filed under the name Desulfoscipio gibsoniae. Its description in RNAcentral is "Desulfotomaculum gibsoniae T-box sequence". It matches the Rfam family "T-box leader". Rfam says of the family: Uncharged tRNA acts as the effector for transcription antitermination of genes in the T-box leader family. T-boxes are found upstream of many aminoacyl-tRNA synthetase genes and some amino acid biosynthetic genes usually in Gram-positive bacteria. The record is from RNAcentral. Lineage: Bacteria; Bacillati; Bacillota; Clostridia; Eubacteriales; Desulfallaceae.